CCUACGGGAGGCAGCAGUGGGGAAUAUUGGACAAUGGGCGCAAGCCUGAUCCAGCAAUGCCGCGUGAGUGAUGAAGGCCUUAGGGUCGUAAAGCUCUUUUACCAGGGAUGAUAAUGACAGUACCUGGAGAAUAAGCUCCGGCUAACUCCGUGCCAGCAGCCGCGGUAAUACGGAGGGAGCUAGCGUUGUUCGGAAUUACUGGGCGUAAAGCGUACGUAGGCGGUUAUUCAAGUCAGAGGUGAAAGCCCGGGGCUCAACCCCGGAACGGCCUUUGAAACUAGGUAGCUAGAAUCUUGGAGAGGUCAGUGGAAUUCCGAGUGUAGAGGUGAAAUUCGUAGAUAUUCGGAAGAACACCAGUGGCGAAGGCGACUGACUGGACAAGUAUUGACGCUGAGGUACGAAAGCGUGGGGAGCAAACAGGAUUAGAUACCCUGGUAGUCCACGCCGUAAACGAUGAUAACUAGCUGUUCGGGCACUUGGUGCUUGAGUGGCGCAGCUAACGCAUUAAGUUAUCCGCCUGGGGAGUACGGUCGCAAGAUUAAAAACUCAAAAUGAAAUGACGG
RNAcentral lists this ribosomal RNA (563 nucleotides) under uncultured bacterium. RNAcentral's name for it is "bacterial SSU rRNA". It matches the Rfam family "Bacterial small subunit ribosomal RNA", at positions 338 to 916 of the family's 1533-position model. The record is from RNAcentral.